AAAUUGAAGAGUUUGAUCAUGGCUCAGAUUGAACGCUGGCGGCAGGCCUAACACAUGCAAGUCGAACGGUAACAGGAAGCAGCUUGCUGCUUCGCUGACGAGUGGCGGACGGGUGAGUAAUGUCUGGGAAACUGCCUGAUGGAGGGGGAUAACUACUGGAAACGGUGGCUAAUACCGCAUAACGUCGCAAGACCAAAGAGGGGGACCUUCGGGCCUCUUGCCAUCAGAUGUGCCCAGAUGGGAUUAGCUAGUUGGUGAGGUAACGGCUCACCAAGGCGACGAUCCCUAGCUGGUCUGAGAGGAUGACCAGCCACACUGGAACUGAGACACGGUCCAGACUCCUACGGGAGGCAGCAGUGGGGAAUAUUGCACAAUGGGCGCAAGCCUGAUGCAGCCAUGCCGCGUGUAUGAAGAAGGCCUUCGGGUUGUAAAGUACUUUCAGCGGGGAGGAAGGUGUUGUGGUUAAUAACCGCAGCAAUUGACGUUACCCGCAGAAGAAGCACCGGCUAACUCCGUGCCAGCAGCCGCGGUAAUACGGAGGGUGCAAGCGUUAAUCGGAAUUACUGGGCGUAAAGCGCACGCAGGCGGUCUGUCAAGUCGGAUGUGAAAUCCCCGGGCUCAACCUGGGAACUGCAUUCGAAACUGGCAGGCUUGAGUCUUGUAGAGGGGGGUAGAAUUCCAGGUGUAGCGGUGAAAUGCGUAGAGAUCUGGAGGAAUACCGGUGGCGAAGGCGGCCCCCUGGACAAAGACUGACGCUCAGGUGCGAAAGCGUGGGGAGCAAACAGGAUUAGAUACCCUGGUAGUCCACGCCGUAAACGAUGUCUACUUGGAGGUUGUGCCCUUGAGGCGUGGCUUCCGGAGCUAACGCGUUAAGUAGACCGCCUGGGGAGUACGGCCGCAAGGUUAAAACUCAAAUGAAUUGACGGGGGCCCGCACAAGCGGUGGAGCAUGUGGUUUAAUUCGAUGCAACGCGAAGAACCUUACCUGGUCUUGACAUCCACGGAAAUUUUCAGAGAUGAGAAUGUGCCUUCGGGAAC
Molecule: ribosomal RNA, 1037 nt
Filed under: Salmonella enterica subsp. enterica serovar Muenchen
Lineage: Bacteria; Pseudomonadati; Pseudomonadota; Gammaproteobacteria; Enterobacterales; Enterobacteriaceae
Also listed under: 1 other name
Description: partial 16S ribosomal RNA
Rfam family: Bacterial small subunit ribosomal RNA
Source: RNAcentral